AUGGUAGAACACGACGGGCGGGACAGCCAGGCCAGUGUCCUUGAGGAAGGGGACUACCUGCGGGCGCUCGGCGAGGUCGCGGUAGAAGGCGUACUCCGCCUCGUAGUCGUGGAGGUCCAGCUCGUUCUUCUGGUUGCUGUGGUAAUGGUGCUUGGCGUCUGCCACCUUCCCGAAGCCGAACACGCUCACCCUGUCGCACACCCCCACCGCGACCAUGAUGGCCUGCAUCCCGGACGAGUAGUGGAACAGCGCCGCGUCGUGCGCGCCGUUCCAGUCCUCGACGGCGCGGCCCGUCUCGGCGACGAAGCGGCGGAGCGAGUAGUACUUGACGAUGCGCGCGCAGAGGACGUCGAGGCGAGGGUCGGUGAUGGAGAUGGGGGCGUCGUGGGUGGCGAGGGAGGAGGCGUUGCAGGCGGCGACGUCGAGGAAGUGCGCGGCCUGGCAGAUGUAGAGGAGCACGGGGACGCCGCUGCCGUAGGGGUGGCAGAAGCAGCCGGGGCGGCGCGCGCAGAGGUGGAGUAUGUUGCUGUUGAUGAAGGAGAGGUUGGUCUUGGCGCCGACGUGCGCGGUGUAGCCGACGACGCGGGCGUUGUUGAGGCGGAAGACGGCGUGGUGGGAGUCGAUGAGGGCGCCGUGGGCGUGGCGGAGGAGGAUGCCGCUGUUGCCGACGACGGCGCAGGAGGGGAUGCGGGCGGGGAGGGCGAGCACGGCGGGGAGGUCGCGGAGCACGGCGGGGUCGUAGCGGCGGAGGCGGUGCCAGGAGCGGAGCGCGCGGCGGAGGGCGGGGUCGAGGAGGAGCUCCUCGCGCGGGAGCGGGUGGAGGAGGGAGUCGGCGUGGUCGCGGUCCGCGUGGCCGCGGCGGUGGACGGGGAACUGGUGGUGGCGGAGGUGGAGCGGGUGGAGCCGGUCGCGGCGCCAGGCGCGGGCGCGGGCGCGGCCCGAGGCCGGGAGGCGGCCCUCGAGGAGGUCGUCGACGUCGCGGCGCAGGGACGGCUCGGAGCCGUCGAGGGCGGCGAGGCGGAGGAGCGUGGCGUUGAGGCGCGCGGGAUCGAGCGGCGGCGGCGGCGGGGCGAGCGCGGGGGCCGGCGGGGCCAGCGCCCGGCGGAGCGCGGAGGGGAAGGAGGCCGCGCCGCAGAGCACGACGAGGAGGAGCGCCGCGAAGGGCCCCCGCAGCGGCCGCUUCAUGGCCGCCGCCGCAGCAGCCGGGGGCUAAGUGGGCCGGGGCCGCAUCGGGGGAUGAUGCGCAUCUGGGGGGUGCGAGCGCGAGCCCGAGCCGAUCGAGGUCCGGGCGGCCGGGGGCGCGAUGGACGGGUUCGGGUACGGCGAGGUGUGGGUAGGAGCGAGCGAGAGUGA
RNAcentral lists this ribosomal RNA (1353 nucleotides) under Triticum aestivum (bread wheat). RNAcentral describes it as "partial small subunit ribosomal RNA". The record is from RNAcentral. Lineage: Eukaryota; Viridiplantae; Streptophyta; Magnoliopsida; Poales; Poaceae.